AAUCUGGUGGGGCCAGAGUUCCUGGAGGGGAGGGAGGGAGGAACCAGCAGCACUCCCUUGCUGAAUGCUUGCCACCAUGUGCCAGGGAUUAGAGUGGGUGUCAGACGAAACAGGGUUUCGGCAGGAGUGGCAGUGCAGAAAGUGAGAAGAGUUCCUCAAAGGGCAAGGAAGCCCAUGGGGGCUAUGGUGGAAUGAGUGAUGUGGAGAGAGGAUGGAGACUCAGAGAGGAGAGCUGCAUUUCUCCUGGACCCCCAGGAAGA
Molecule: long non-coding RNA, 260 nt
Organism: Lontra canadensis (Northern American river otter)
Lineage: Eukaryota; Metazoa; Chordata; Mammalia; Carnivora; Mustelidae
Exons: 3
Source: RefSeq, a predicted model, not a curated record